UUAAUCGUGAAACCGCGAAUGGCUCAUUAUAACAGCUAUAAUUUACUUGAUCUUGACACAAUCCUACUUGGAUAACUGUGGUAAUUCUAGAGCUAAUACAUGCAUUAAAGCUCUGACCUCACGGGAAGAGUGCAUUUAUUAGAACAAAACCAAGCGGCUUCGGCUGUUUCUGGUUGACUCAUAGUAACUGAGCUGAUCGCAUGGUCUUGCACCGGCGACGUGUCUUUCAAGUAUCUGCCGUAUCAACUUUCGAUGGUAGUGUAUCUGACUACCAUGGUGAUCACGCGUAACGGAGAAUAAGGGUUCGGCUCCGGAGAGUUCGCCUGAGAAAUCGCGAACACAUCUAAGGAAGGCAGCAGGCGCGAAAAUUACCCACUCUCAGCACGAGGAGGUAGUGACGAAAAAUAACGAGACCGUUCUCUUAUGAGGCCGGUCAUCGGAAUGGGUACAAUUUAAA
Molecule: ribosomal RNA, 457 nt
Filed under: unidentified nematode Sourhope farm
Lineage: Eukaryota; Metazoa; Nematoda
Description: SSU rRNA
Rfam family: Eukaryotic small subunit ribosomal RNA
Source: RNAcentral